Molecule: long non-coding RNA, 422 nt
Filed under: Homo sapiens (human)
Lineage: Eukaryota; Metazoa; Chordata; Mammalia; Primates; Hominidae
Description: HSALNT0188231
Source: RNAcentral
GGAGAGGGAGGAGGGGAAGCAGAGGGGACGAUGAGGUGCGGAGGCGUUGGCAGUUGACUUUUGCUGAUGGAGCCUCUCUGAAGGGCAAAUUCAAAGUACAGCUGGGUGCUGCAGCACUGGAGUGCGAACUUGUGGCUGUGGUUAUGAAGGAGCCUCGUCAGCUAUGCCUUUAGCCCCUGGUGAAGCAGUGCCAGUCACACUUUGCCAGUCAAACGGAGAGGCAGCAGUAGUAAGACCAGACCAAAUCAAACCAAACCAAGCAAACCACGGGGAAUGGAGGUUUGUCAACUCCAGUGGAACUUUGGGAAUCUCAGACGAUUCACCUCUACCUCUCAGAUUUUACUAUGAAUGGCAGUAAGGAUUUUCAUAACCGAUAAAUACAUUCUGUAAAUGCAUUUCCUUACAGAAUUCACAAUGGUACU